Molecule: long non-coding RNA, 3298 nt
Filed under: Daucus carota (carrot)
Lineage: Eukaryota; Viridiplantae; Streptophyta; Magnoliopsida; Apiales; Apiaceae
Description: long non-coding RNA (DCAR_LNC005515)
Source: RNAcentral
GGUGUUAUUGGAAUCCGAUGGAGGCGUAUGAAUAGUCAAAACGAAGCUCUCGACGCGUAGAAUAUAGUAUAAUCAACUAUAACGCUGCAGAUUCAUCAGGUGAUUUUACAUGAUUUUUACAAAAUUCGAAUUAAAUGAUUUUAAAUUAUGAAUUUUUGCAAACGAUUCCGUUUAUGUGAUUUGAUGAUUCUAUGAUGUAGAGCAUGUUUUUCUCGUCGUUUUGGUAUAUUAUAUGUUGAAUUUUGACUUUGGUAACAUAGAGAAAAGUUAGUUUGAUUAUUGACUUGAAUGUUCUUGAUUGUUCUUGAGCUUUCGCCGGAAAGUUAUGAUUUUUGGCCGGAGAAUCUGUUUUAAGAAGUCUGGGUAGAAACUAAGCUCACCAUCAGGUAGAUCGUGUCAUGGGAAAUCGUUUGUUGUAUAAAACAGGGGUGGAGAAGGCUAGAAACAAGCUCGCCAAAAUUUUAAAAUCCGACGAUGUUCUUCGUUUUGAUUCAAAUUUCCUGCUAAACUGUUGAUCUUUUGUUGUUUUAAAUCCCACAAAUGUGUUCCUGGCAUCAUAAGGUACUGAUCUGCAUUGUUUGGAAAGUUUCCGGGUGGUUUUUGGCCACCGACGGUGGCCGACGGCGAGUGGAGGGGGCGGCGCUGCAAUUUUGCAGUUUAGCCCCCAAUCUUUUCAAGGUGGUGAAGUUGUUGUACCUAAGUUUUGAAUCUUACAAAACACCCCCUGUAACUUUUGAAAGUUACAGUUUAAACCCUGGACGAAAACUUUCAAAAGUUUACAAAAUAAACCUUUUGAUUUAAUUUUCUAAAAUUGUUUUAUUUAAUUAUUUUAAAUUCCAAAAAUAGUUUUUAAUUAUUUCUUUAUUCAAAAAUAAAUCUAAAUUAGUUUAUUAAUUAAUUUUAAUUAGUAAUUAAUUAUUUUAAUUGGUCAAUUAAUUUAAAUAUUAAUUGAUUAAUUAUUUUAAUUAAUUAUUAAUUGAUUUUAAUUGAUUAAUUAAUUGGAUUUAAUUAAUCCUUUUUGAUUUAAAAAUUCCGAAAAAUAGUUUCGAGCUUUAAAAUAUUUUUCCAAAUUAUUUUCAAGGCUCGAUAAUUGUUUAUGAAUGAUUUCAAGUCCAAUUUCAAGUAUUUGGGACUUGAUUAUUUAUCCGAAAAGUGAUUCUUUUAUCGAUUUUAAUUCCGAAAAAUGUUUAAAAAUUCCAGAAAAUUCCCGAAAAAUCAUUUUUAACCCAAGAGUUGAUUUGAUAUCAAUUGGGGUGGGAAACCUUAUGUGUAAUGUGUUGUCUGCUAUCUGUUUGAUGUGUUAUGUGCCGAUAGAGGAGUUAGAAAACGGUUUUGAUCAUAACUUUUGAUCCGUAAGUCGGAAUCAAGUGAAACGAAAGAGAGACAGAAGCUUAUAAAGUCUAGUUUGAUAUGACAUAAUAUUAUGAUGGAGUCGAGAAUCUGAAUAAUUUUUGUUAAAUGUGCAAAAUGUGAUUAUAUGUUAUUUGGUUGCUAUUAACUAAUGACUACGUGAUAUACAUGUUUAUUCAUGAUAGUAUAUGCGUGUGAUAAAUGAUUUGGAUGACAUAGUGUCGUGAGUUGAUUGAUAUUGGAUAAGAAUAUAUGGAUUAUAGUGAUUGGAUCUUGUUGGUUGAUUGUUGAUUGAGAUAGGAUAACAGGUGGAUAGUCUAAUAAAUAGACGAGACGAUGUCGGAUUUUCGAUAGGAUUCAUAUGAUAAGUGAUUGGUAAUAUGUUAUGUGGAAUAUGACUUGACUAUAUGGUAGAGUCAAAGCAUGAUUACGUGUUAAGUGAUAUGUGAUAAGUUUAAAGGGGUAUAUAAGUGGGUAUCGAUAUACGUGAUAUGUAUAUGCGAUAUAUUGUUUAGUGACUAUAGUAUUAUCUUAUUCUCGUAAAGGAUUUGGACGAGACGUGUACGCUCGAAGACGUCAGAAAGUCGGAAUGGUAUUGCAAAGCGAAUAAGGGAUGAAUCGAGUAAGCGAAGCGAUGUGGCGAAUAGAGUAUAGCUAGAGAUGGUCUAGAGAUUAUGAGAUGCAUAGAUUGUGAAAGUGGAAAGAUGAGAAUGAGCUGUGAGACGGGAGUCAGAUUUAAGGCAAGUAUCCUAUACCCUUCUUUUGGAUAUCUUGCGAUUAUUCUGAUCCAUUCUUUUCGUAUGUGUUGCAAAUAUUCGUUCCUCUCUUUUUCAUAUUUGGCAAGUGCAAAUAUUUUUAUCCAUCCUUUUCUAAUCCUCAAAAAUUCAGAUAAUUCCAGUUUUACAAAUUAAUUCGAAGUUCAGAUUGUCAUUGAAGCAUGUGUUGCUCAGUGAUGAUUAGAACCUAGAAUGACUUGGGAUCUUCUUGAUUAUUCAACCCGCCAUUGUCAUGCUGGUUUAGCAGGCUAAAUUCAGUUGCUUAGCCGAUAAUGGAGGAUACUGAAUAGUUAAGGAUUUCCUGGAUUAUGAUUUAUGGAAGGAUGGACUCUGGUUUAUGAAAAGUUGAUUAUCAAAUGUUUGAUUGGGAAUUAUUUUAUCAUGGAUAUUGAUUGUGGUUAUGUUCUGUUGCUAUACGUUGACCUGUUAUUGAAUUAUAGAAUUGGAUUAUUGUUUUUAUAUAAACCUGUGGACCAGAUUCGUGGUCAUGUUAGGCCAAUGAGUGCCUUGGAUCCAGUGAUAGAGCAUGGCGGGGCCUGCUCGGGGUUAGUGCGGAACUGAUCAGCUGCCUAACCUUGGUUUUAAUUAAAAUGUGAUAGUCCAAUUCAAUAAUUCUUUGGAAAGAUUGAAUUCCUCAGUUUAAAUGAUGCAAGGUAUUGUAAAUCAUUCUAUGCAAUACCAUGAACUCAUGAACUCAGGUUGAACCCUCUUAUAUCUUGAACUCGUGAACUUCUGUUAUAUCAUUUCAGAAUUAUCAUUGUUUAUUAUUACUUGCUGAGCAUUGUUGCUCACCCUUGCUAUUCCUUUCUAACCAUUUCAGAAAGGCUAAAAGAUGAGAUGAUUGAUUGAGAUUGUGGAUAAGGCUAAUGCUAGGCGAGGAGACAGAAUUGAGGAUCCAGUGGUCGAGGAGUGUUCAGGAAAGUUGAUGAGGGUGGUGCAAGCUAGAGCUGUGCUAUAGGGAUUCAAGUGAAAGUCAUAGCUGGAAUAGUUAACAGUGAUUCUUCUUAUCGAAGAUGAUCUGACUUGGUAAGAAAAGUUGUGUAAUAUUAGUGGUGGAUUCUAAUUUCAAUACUGUAACCUGGAAGCGAUCCUGUUGUUUUUGGGGGUUAAAUGUUCUCUUAAAAUUUUCUUAUUAUGGUUUUCAAGUUUGAAAUUCAGGUUUUAAAAUCAUU